Molecule: ribosomal RNA, 468 nt
Filed under: uncultured bacterium
Lineage: Bacteria
Description: partial 16S ribosomal RNA
Rfam family: Bacterial small subunit ribosomal RNA
Source: RNAcentral
GACGAACGCUGGCGGCGUGCUUAACACAUGCAAGUCGAACGGAAAGGCCCUGCUUUUGUGGGGUGCUCGAGUGGCGAACGGGUGAGUAACACGUGAGUAACCUGCCCUUGACUUUGGGAUAACUUCAGGAAACUGGGGCUAAUACCGGGUAGGAGCUCCUGCUGCAUGGUGGGGGUUGGAAAGUUUCGGCGGUUGGGGAUGGACUCGCGGCUUAUCGGCUUGUUGGUGGGGUAGUGGCUUACCAAGGCUUUGACGGGUAGCCGGCCUGAGAGGGUGACCGGCCACAUUGGGACUGAGAUACGGCCCAGACUCUUACGGGAGGCAGCAGUGGGGAAUAUUGCACAAUGGGCGGAAGCCUGAUGCAGCAACGCCGCGUGCGGGAUGACGGCCUUCGGGUUGUAAACCGCUUUCGCCUGUGACGAAGCGUGAGUGACGGUAAUGGGUAAAGAAGCACCGGCUAACUACGUG